Molecule: long non-coding RNA, 495 nt
Filed under: Ursus maritimus (polar bear)
Lineage: Eukaryota; Metazoa; Chordata; Mammalia; Carnivora; Ursidae
Description: lncRNA (ENSUMAG00000016031.1)
Source: RNAcentral
AUGAAUAAAUGAAUGGUAUUUUUUCUGUAAUCAAAUGGACUAACCAAACUGUCCAUGUCUGAUUCUGCCAAAAUUGUGUAGACAAUACCUGUAAGUAAGAGUUGGAAAAAUAGCUAUUCUGUUUGUAAAUGUUUUGUUUCUUUAAUUUGUGUGCUUCAUUUCUGGCUAUUUUUUGACAGGGAGAGUGAGAAACAAGGCCUUUUGCCCAUCUCUUUUCCAGCUGUUCAUAGCAUGUCCUUACUGCCUUGCCCUCACCCUGACCCCAGACAAAUUGUGAAAAUAAUACCAUUUUCGAAGUCGAAGAGGACUCAGAGGUCAUAGGAUUCAAGUCUUCACUGGACAGACUUGGAAAUUGACACCCACAGAGAAGAUUGAAAUUGGCUGACAGAUCUCAUCUUUUCUGGAGGGGAAAACUUGUCCAGAGCUUGGUUGCUUCCCAAGAGAGUGAGCACUGGUAAGCUCCCAGAGAGGGACCUCUGCAGAGCUGGGGUUCUG